Molecule: long non-coding RNA, 1701 nt
Organism: Panthera uncia (snow leopard)
Lineage: Eukaryota; Metazoa; Chordata; Mammalia; Carnivora; Felidae
Exons: 8
Source: RefSeq, a predicted model, not a curated record
CCUCCAUUGGACGAACCAUGCUGAGGGAUCCCUCUGGGAGCCAACCAAAGGCGCGAAUCUGGAGCCGAAGAGGCAGGAUCGCCAAGCGGACCCGUUUUGGAGGUCACAGCUCCUCUGGGCGCGGCUUAGUGGCGGAGCUUGCCGUGAGGGGAGGGCCUUCCACUUGUCGCCAGCGUGAACUCUGGUGCCCCGUGAGUGUUCGGAAUGGACCCCCAAAUCUGCCCCCGCCAGGUCGCACUCGACUCUGUUUCGACGACUUUUUUGGUAUCACUUUCUCUUCCUUUUUGCCUUGGGGUCCCUUUGGUCCCUCCCUUUCUCUUCGCUCUCAGAAAUCCUAGUUUCUCAGAUGCUUAGCUCAGAGGAGAAAAUCGUGUGCGGAAUUAAGUCCUUCCUUCUGUUAGGCAGUUGAAUGGGAGGGACCAAAAAUCACUUGGUGUCCUGACAAGAUUUGUUACAGUUGCUAAGAUCGUCAGCUCUAAUGCUUUGAGGGAGAUAACUUCCUGCAAACCCAGAACUUUCGGAUUUCUUCCGAGCUCGAAGCUUCUUCACUUACCACACCAGAGGAAACCUUGCACGUGUGCAUUCAACAUGUCCAAGCUUAUGUCCACAUCCUUCACUUCCUGCAAAUAGUGAUGUCUAAUCAGCACAGCUCUGUCUGCCCCCUGAUCUGGGCACACAUGGUCCCCUGAUCUCAUGGACUCCUUACACUUUGCAAUUGGAGGAAGAUCCUUCCAGAUCACGCCACAUGAAGAUGGAGGCAGAUGUUGGACUGAUGCUUCUACAAGCCAGAGAACUCCAAGGUGUCCAGCAUAUCAUCAGAAGCUAUGGGAGAGGCAUGAAACAGAUCUUUCCCUCACUGCCCUCAGAAGGAACAGGUGGUGCUGACACCUUGAUCUCGGAUUCUAGCCUCCAAAACUUUAACAAUUUACACUAGUUCUAAAACUCAUCUCAACCUGGAACUCACAGGGUAUGCCUUUGUGGAACAUGAGGAAAUUCUGCCAUUUGACUCCACUGCAUGUAUAAGAAAAAGACCUUCAACUUUUCAAACAGACCUUAUAUACAUACUGGAUGAGUGAAAACAUGUACUGAGAACUACCUACCAUCCUUCAGACACUCUUCUUGGCAUUGUGGAUAUACAAAGCUAAUCUUGACCCUCGGCAGUCAAGCUGGAAUUGAGAAGCUUGAUGUGGAGAUAGCCUAAAAGUGAAAGAAGGAGAAGUAUUCAAGGAGGAAAGAAGUAGAGGAAGAAACAACACAUCAUUUCAAUCUGCAAAAGGUAUAGGAAAGACGAAGAAUACAAGCCCUAGAAACUGGUUUGAACUCCAGCAGUGAUUUCAACAAAAGAACAAAGUGACCAAAAUAACAAAAGACCAGUGAUGUACUUUCAUCUUCUACGGAACUAACAGAACCUGGAGAACGAAAACCUUCACAUCAAAUUGGAUUCAUGAGCUGUGGGCAACGAUGACAGCACAAGAAAUAAUUUCAACUAACUUGUAAGAAAUCAAGUCAAAUUUAAUUUCUACAAUUAAAUGGACUUUUUUUUCUUCUUAAACACUCAACUACUUAACUGAAUGGUCAGCUAACCACUGAAUUAACUAUAGAAAAAUAUUUUUUUAAUUAACCAAGUUGUUAAUUGAUUCCCACAUGUCCCAUCAGCAAGUCCCCUUUCUGGCCCACAGCAGCCUUUUCAACACACUAAUA